AGGACGAACGCUGGCGGCGUGCUUAACACAUGCAAGUCGAACGGUAAGGCCCCUUCGGGGGGUACACGAGUGGCGAACGGGUGAGUAACACGUGAGCAACCUGCCUCUGACAUUGGAAUAACAGUUGGAAACAGCUGCUAAUACCGGGUAUGACCUGUCACCGCAUGGUGGUGGGUGGAAAGCCUUGGCGGUCAGAGAUGGGCUCGCGGCCUAUCAGCUAGUUGGUGAGGUAAUGGCUCACCAAGGCUUCGACGGGUA
This 258-nucleotide ribosomal RNA is filed under the name uncultured bacterium. RNAcentral's name for it is "partial small subunit ribosomal RNA". It matches the Rfam family "Bacterial small subunit ribosomal RNA", at positions 26 to 285 of the family's 1533-position model. The record is from RNAcentral.